RNAcentral lists this ribosomal RNA (299 nucleotides) under Scirtothrips dorsalis. Its description in RNAcentral is "partial 28S ribosomal RNA". It matches the Rfam family "Eukaryotic large subunit ribosomal RNA", at positions 674 to 944 of the family's 3401-position model. The record is from RNAcentral. Lineage: Eukaryota; Metazoa; Arthropoda; Insecta; Thysanoptera; Thripidae.
UCUAACAUGUGCGCGAGUCAUUGGGCUCUGCGAAACCUAAAGGCGAAAUGAAAGUGAAGGCUGGCUUGCCAGCUUAGGGGUGAUGGCCGUUCCUUAACCGGGCGGCCCGCAACCCCGGGGCGUCUCAUUCUCUUUGAGAAGUGGCGCACCCAGAGCGUACACGUUGGGACCCGAAAGAUGGUGAACUAUGCGUGGCCAGGACGAAGUCAGGGGAAACCCUGAUGGAGGUCCGUAGCGAUUCUGACGUGCAAAUCGAUCGUCGGAGCUGCGUAUAGGGGCGAAAGACUAAUCGAACCAUC